AUUGAACGCUGGCGGCAGGCCUAACACAUGCAAGUCGAGCGGAUGAAGGGAGCUUGCUCCUGGAUUCAGCGGCGGACGGGUGAGUAAUGCCUAGGAAUCUGCCUGGUAGUGGGGGAUAACGUCCGGAAACGGGCGCUAAUACCGCAUACGUCCUGAGGGAGAAAGUGGGGGAUCUUCGGACCUCACGCUAUCAGAUGAGCCUAGGUCGGAUUAGCUAGUUGGUGGGGUAAAGGCCUACCAAGGCGACGAUCCGUAACUGGUCUGUGAGGAGGAUCAGUCACACUGGAAGUGAGACACGGUCCAGACUCCUACGGGAGGCAGCAGUGGGGAAUAUUGGACAAUGGGCGAAAGCCUGAUCCAGCCAGGCCGCGUGUGUGAAGAAGGUCUUCGGAUUGUAAAGCACUUUAAGUUGGUAGGAAGGGCAGUAAGUUAAUACCUUGCUGUUUUGACGUUACCAACAGAAUAAGCACCGGCUAACUUCGUG
RNAcentral lists this ribosomal RNA (484 nucleotides) under uncultured bacterium. Its description in RNAcentral is "partial 16S ribosomal RNA". It matches the Rfam family "Bacterial small subunit ribosomal RNA", at positions 30 to 507 of the family's 1533-position model. The record is from RNAcentral.